Molecule: ribosomal RNA, 302 nt
Filed under: uncultured bacterium
Lineage: Bacteria
Description: partial 16S ribosomal RNA
Rfam family: Bacterial small subunit ribosomal RNA
Source: RNAcentral
GCAGCCGCCGCGGUAAUACAGAGGGUGCGAGCGUUAAUCGGAUUUACUGGGCGUAAAGCGUGCGUAGGCGGCUUUUUAAGUCGGAUGUGAAAUCCCUGAGCUUAACUUGGGAACUGCAUUUGAAACUGGCAAGCUAGAGUCUUGUAGAGGGGGGUAGAAUUCCAGGUGUAGCGGUGAAAUGCGUAGAGAUCGGGAGGAACAUCAGUGGCGAAGGCGGCCAUCUGGGACAACACUGACGCUGAGGCACGAAAGCGUGGGGAGCAAACAGGAUUAGAUACCCCCGUAGUCCCUGUCUCUUAUAC